AAAACCUUUAAAAACAGUCCAGAGAGGCUGGGAAGGUUGAGAAGAUCAACGGGUGUAUUAUGCCUUCCCGCAGGGGAAGGAUUUUUUAU
This is a non-coding RNA of Thermobrachium celere DSM 8682, 89 nucleotides long. NCBI's taxonomy places the organism in Bacteria, Bacillati, Bacillota, Clostridia, Eubacteriales, Clostridiaceae. The record is from Rfam.